RNAcentral lists this ribosomal RNA (253 nucleotides) under uncultured bacterium. RNAcentral's name for it is "partial 16S ribosomal RNA". It matches the Rfam family "Bacterial small subunit ribosomal RNA", at positions 524 to 776 of the family's 1533-position model. The record is from RNAcentral.
UACAGAGGGGGCAAGCGUUGUUCGGAAUUACUGGGCGUAAAGGGCGCGUAGGCGGCCGGUUAAGUCGAACGUGAAAUCCCCGGGCUCAACCCGGGAACUGCGUCCGAUACUGGCAGGCUUGAAUCCGGGAGAGGGAUGCGGAAUUCCAGGUGUAGCGGUGAAAUGCGUAGAUAUCUGGAGGAACACCGGUGGCGAAGGCGGCAUCCUGGACCGGCAUUGACGCUGAGGCGCGAAGGCCAGGGGAGCAAACGGG